Molecule: ribosomal RNA, 484 nt
Filed under: uncultured bacterium
Lineage: Bacteria
Description: partial 16S ribosomal RNA
Rfam family: Bacterial small subunit ribosomal RNA
Source: RNAcentral
AUUGAACGCUGGCGGCAUGCCUUACACAUGCAAGUCGAACGGUAACAGGUCUUUCGGGAUGCUGACGAGUGGCGAACGGGUGAGUAAUACAUCGGAACGUGCCUAGUAGUGGGGGAUAACUACUCGAAAGAGUGGCUAAUACCGCAUGAGAUCUAUGGAUGAAAGCAGGGGACCUUUUGGCCUUGUGCUACUAGAGCGGCCGAUGGCAGAUUAGGUAGUUGGUGGGAUAAAAGCUUACCAAGCCUACGAUCUGUAGCUGGUCUGAGAGGACGAUCAGCCACACUGGGACUGAGACACGGCCCAGACUCCUACGGGAGGCAGCAGUGGGGAAUUUUGGACAAUGGGCGCAAGCCUGAUCCAGCAAUGCCGCGUGCAGGAUGAAGGCCUUCGGGUUGUAAACUGCUUUUGUACGGAACGAAAAGUCUUGGGUUAAUACCCUGGGAUCAUGACGGUACCGUAAGAAUAAGCACCGGCUAACUACGUG